This 489-nucleotide long non-coding RNA is filed under the name Sorghum bicolor (sorghum). Its description in RNAcentral is "long non-coding RNA (SBIC_LNC003703)". Lineage: Eukaryota; Viridiplantae; Streptophyta; Magnoliopsida; Poales; Poaceae. The record is from RNAcentral.
GGAGUAAUUAGUAUUUUGUAUUUUGAAUUCUAUCAUGAACUAAACACCCCCUCACUGUCGCUUCUCGCUUCAAUCGUUGCACAACGUGAAGACGCGCGCUGGCCUAUCACACUUGACGAUAGAUUAGAGCAUUCCCAGAAAGAAUACUUGAAACUUGAUGCUCCAGCGACCUGGCUCGUUGGAUUUUGUCUGUCUCUACAUCAACCUCCCGCCAACGAUGCGGCCCAAGUUUGAAAAGUUAUUGGGCUGGAAUGUACGGUAUCAGCCUUGUCUGGGUGAGGUAAGGAGUUACAGGAACCGUCAAGCUGUGUUUUGCCAUUGGGCCAAUGCAGUAGCUUGUAACAGAAUAUGGGUUGUAUUUGGGCCUACUUAGGCCAGCGUAAUCCCGCUUCCAAAACAUGUUAAGGGACGAAUUGGAUCAGACUAUGGCUCACUAACGGUGGAUACGACGUUCAAAAAGAGAGGAAAAAAAAAGCCCAAGUUAACCCC